UAGGCCUUACGAAAUAAAUAAAAUAAUCUACGUGGGUAGACCGCAUAAAAUACAUUACAGGAACUAAAUGCCACAGAAGCAAAUUAUGACAAAAGGAAGGACCGCAAACGUUUCCUAUAAUGUUAUCAUAAUACUAUAGAUCAGAUAAUUUCAGCGAUACUUGUGGUUUAAUUUUACGUCACAUUUUUAACCGUGAUAUUAUUAUUUUCAUUAGAAUCGUUGUAGGUGGAUGGCGUUGUAAAUCGUUGGUUUUCAUUGCGGCCUUGUCUCAGUACAGCAAUUUGGUGUCACUGAUUAACUGCUCGAUACCAUUCCAUUAUAUUCUCGAUUUUAUCUUACUCCAUGGUAUCGACAUAAUAAUAAAACAAUUUCCGAAAUUGCCAGUUAUCAUAUUAAUUCGAUUGGUAGGUAGGUAUCACGAUUAUAAUCUAUGGUUACUUACAGUAAUGAUCACGACUAACCGUGAUAUGAAGAAUAAUCGUGGACGCCAAUAUUAUUAUUUUGAUAAGAGCCGUAGAUUAAUUUUUCCUAGUGACAUACCUGUGAACUAUAUACAAUGUAUAGUUUAGUGUAUAUAUUAUGUAUAUUAUACAUAGUCAUAAUUAGCGAUUACUUUAUCGUUAAUAAAAUACACGAUAAGGUGUAAAUAAUGUGUGCUGGUGUUCACAUUCCUGUGUAGGAGGGUUUGAGGAGAGGACCCCGUUCUGUUAGAAUAUGAGAAAACUUCGGGAGCCAUCAACUUAUCACUAUAUUUGUACAUACGAACUCGUCGUGCAACCGAUCUAUCUACAAUAUCGUGG
This is a non-coding RNA of Cinara cedri, 800 nucleotides long. The record is from the annotation of a GenBank genome assembly. NCBI's taxonomy places the organism in Eukaryota, Metazoa, Arthropoda, Insecta, Hemiptera, Aphididae.